AACGAGACCUUUCGGGUCUUAGUGGCGCACCGGGUGCGUAAACGCGUGGGAAUUUGCCCUUGGGUUUCGGAAUAACCAGAGAAAUGACUGCUAAUACCGGAUGAUGACUUCGGUCCAAAGAUUUAUUCGCCCAGGGAUGAGCCCCGCGUCGGAUUAGCUAGUUGGUGAGGUAAAAGCUCACCAAGGCGACGAUCCGUAGCUGGUCUGAGAGGAUGAACAGCCACACUGGGACUGAGACACGGCCCAGACUCCUACGGGAGGCAGCAGAGGGGAAUAUUGGACAAUGGGCGCAAGCCUGAUCCAGCAAUGCCGCGUGAGUGAUGAAGGCCUUAGGGUUGUAAAGCUCUUUUACCCGGGAUGAUAAUGACAGUACCGGGAGAAUAAGCCC
RNAcentral lists this ribosomal RNA (388 nucleotides) under uncultured soil bacterium. RNAcentral's name for it is "bacterial SSU rRNA". It matches the Rfam family "Bacterial small subunit ribosomal RNA", at positions 65 to 493 of the family's 1533-position model. The record is from RNAcentral.